CCUACGGGGUGCUGCAGUGGGGAAUAUUGGACAAUGGGCGCAAGCCUGAUCCAGCAAUGCCGCGUGUGUGAAGAAGGCCUUAGGGUUGUAAAGCACUUUCAGCAAUGAAGAAGUUGUAUUGGCUAAUAUCCAAUAUAAUUGACGUUAGUUGCAGAAGAAGUACUGGCUAACUCUGUGCCAGCAGCCGCGGUAAUACAGAGAGUGCAAGCGUUAAUCGGAAUUAUUGGACGUUAUGAAUGUAGAUAUUGUUGAAAUCCCUGGGCUUAACCUAGGAAUUGCAUUUAAUACUUUGUAUCUAGAGUAUUGUAGGGGGAAGUGGAAUUUCCGGUGUAGCGGUGAAAUGCGUAGAUAUCGGAAGGAACACCAGUGGCGAAGGCGACUUCCUGGACAAAUACUGACACUGAGACACGAAAGCGUGGGGAGCAAACAGGAUUAGAUACCCCUGUAGUC
This 450-nucleotide ribosomal RNA is filed under the name uncultured bacterium. RNAcentral describes it as "partial 16S ribosomal RNA". It matches the Rfam family "Bacterial small subunit ribosomal RNA", at positions 338 to 795 of the family's 1533-position model. The record is from RNAcentral.